UUACGUCUAUAUCACGUUGAAACACCUGUUCCCGCACGAUCACAGACACUAAGCAACGUCGAGCUUGAUCAGUACUUACAUGGGUGACCAAUUAGGAAUUCCAGGCGCUGUAAG
Non-coding RNA from Acanthosepion pharaonis, 114 nucleotides. NCBI's taxonomy places the organism in Eukaryota, Metazoa, Mollusca, Cephalopoda, Sepiida, Sepiidae. The record is from the annotation of a GenBank genome assembly.